AACGAACGCUGGCGGCAUGCCUAACACAUGCAAGUCGAGCGCACCCUUCGGGGUGAGCGGCUGACGGGGAGGUAACGCGGGGGAACUUGCCCUUCUCUGCGGAAUAGCCUCGGGAAGCUAAGAGUAAUACCGCAUACGCCCUUUGGGGGACAGAUUUAUCGGAGAAGGGUCGGCCCGCGUUGGCUUAGGUAGUUGGUGUGGUAAUUGCCCCCCAAGCCGACGAGCCAGAGCUGGGUAGAGAGACUGAUCAGCCACACUGGGGCUGGGAAACGGUCCAGACUCUUACGGGAGGCAGGAGUGGGGGAUCUUAGAAAAUGGGGGCAACGCUGAUCGAGCCAGGGCGGGUGAGUGAUGAAGGCCUUAGGGUUGUAAAGCUCUUUAAGCUGGGCAGAUAAUGACGGUACCAGAAGAAGAAGCCCCGGCUAACUCCGUG
This 433-nucleotide ribosomal RNA is filed under the name uncultured bacterium. RNAcentral describes it as "partial 16S ribosomal RNA". It matches the Rfam family "Bacterial small subunit ribosomal RNA", at positions 29 to 507 of the family's 1533-position model. The record is from RNAcentral.